GUGGCAGCAAAAUGGGGAAGUUUUAGGAAGGAAAAGAAAAACUUUAUGAAGACACAGCCUGAGCUCAAGCUGAAGAUGGCUCUCCUGCUGCUGGAGCAGCAGGGUGAUAUCACAGUUACAGGGAAAUGUUAGCUUGAAACUGAGUCCAAGUCCCUGCUGUUGCACUUGUAUGGCAAUGACAGAUACCUAGAUGAAAAGGACAGAUUUUGGCAGCUGGAUGCACAUGAGAUGCUCUUUUUCACAUUCCAUCUUGGAACAAGUGCGGGCUCCUUUACAGUGACUGUGUACACAAGGCUCAGUUGCUCUUCCUCACAGAAAAAAGGUGAGCCAGACUGGUCUCCAGCUAUUGUCAGUGUUCAGCUGAGGCCUUGAGAUCUUGGCAUGAGCUGGCAGCCUCACACAGUCCUUCAAAUGAGUGUGGGAGAGAAAACAAAUUUAUGUACUCUGGCAGCUGAAUUCUUUGCUGUAAAGGAGAACAAAUCACCAAUCAUCCUCUACCAUUAAAAUUUAAAAUCUGCCUCUGUAAUAUUUAUUUUAACUUGCAUGUGCUUCUGACAAGGCUCCAGGGCCUAAUGCUCAAGGAAUGAGAAGCAGCAUUUUGGAGGCUCCAAACAGCAAGGAUGAUAUCUAGGAAAAAAGAGUCUUUUAAAAUAUUCCUGUUUCAUCCAGUACAUUCCUUGUCAGAGGCAAUCUUCAUGAAGCUGAGCAGCUGAAAAGAAAAGACAGCACCAUAUAACCAGCCAUACCUGUGGACCACCAGAGAUCCUCAGAAGUGAACUGCCUGAACUAAGUUACAAUGUUCUGAAUACGAAUGAUCAAGAGGGCAAAAUUCAACCAAGUGAAGGGGGACAGUCAAAGACAUCCCACACCACUUAUGCAGCUCAGUGGGCUAGUGGAAAGGGAAGAGGCAUGGCAGAGCAGCAGCUCACAAUAGGAGGAGAUGGAAGGGAACAAAGUGCAUGUUGCCACUGAAGUACACAGAAGGACCCCCUGCAAGAACUCCAGACAGCCAUAAUGGAGUGUGCUUUUGAACGCUUAUGCUUGUGAGAGCAGGGGGCAGUAGCUUCAGUUCUAGCUCCUGAACUGGAAUAGAAGCUGUG
Molecule: non-coding RNA, 1100 nt
Organism: Pelodiscus sinensis (Chinese soft-shelled turtle)
Lineage: Eukaryota; Metazoa; Chordata; Testudines; Trionychidae
Source: RefSeq, a predicted model, not a curated record